AAGAGAGGUUAAAAUCUGUUUAGUGGCACAAGAAUGGUAAGUAAAAUGCUUUUUACGCCAAAGGACAAACAGAGUAGUAUAUAAAGUCCAGGCUAGAUUUCAUAAGGGAUGCAUGCAGGAGUAUCUUUCAGGGCAAAAAAAAAAAAAAACAACCCCAAAAUAUUUUUGUAAAUUAAUAUAAAUUCUUCUCCCCUGCUAAUUUUGCUACUUUUAAUAGCAGAUUUCUACUCUAACAUCAUCAGGAAAAUAAUGUGGACAUUUAGUACAGAAAAUUAAAGACUAUGAGAUACAUUUCUGAUAAAUUAAAAUUAAUUUUAUUCUAUUAAAAAUUAGGAAAAUGGGCCGCCGUGGGCAUCUGACAAAACACACCAAGUUCGUGCGGGACAUGAUUCGGGAUGGGUGCGGCUUUGCCCCAUACGAGCGGCGUGCCAUGGAGUUACUGAAGGUCUCCAAGGAAAAACGGGCCCUCAAACGUAUCAAGAAAAGGGUGGGGACACACAUCCGCGCCAAGAGGAAGCGGGAGGAGCUGAGCAACGUAUUGGCCGCCCUGAGGAAAGCUGCUGCCAAGAAAGACUGAGCCCCUCCCCUGCCCUCUCCCUGAAAUAAAGAACAGCUUGACAGAAAAAAAAAAA
RNA transcript from Cercocebus atys (sooty mangabey), 632 nucleotides. It is a transcript of the gene named 60S ribosomal protein L36 pseudogene, with no coding region annotated. The record is from RefSeq and is a predicted model, not a curated record. Lineage: Eukaryota; Metazoa; Chordata; Mammalia; Primates; Cercopithecidae. The transcript has a single exon.